This is a long non-coding RNA of Syngnathus typhle (broad-nosed pipefish), 396 nucleotides long. RefSeq lists it as uncharacterized. The transcript is spliced from 4 exons. The record is from RefSeq and is a predicted model, not a curated record. Lineage: Eukaryota; Metazoa; Chordata; Actinopteri; Syngnathiformes; Syngnathidae.
UAUAAAUACUGCCCCCAUUUGUCGUCACAUCCUCUUUCCAUUGCCCUUCUCGCUGUGAGAUUCUUCUCCACACGAUGAGAGCCAAGUGGAGGAAGAAGCGCAUGCGCAGGCUGAAGCGUAAAAGGAGAAAGAUGAGGCAGAGGUCCAAGUAAACACUCAUCAUGCCGGCUGCAGCCUGUUGGACUUUCUUGUAUGACUGAAACGGAUGCAUGGACCACCUCCAACUUGGUUUCUGGCAACCACAUGCCUCAUCCACCCACCUGUGACAGUCUACUCGAUGGCACUAACCUGGCACUUGACAUCAGAUGUGGCACUGUUGGUUCAUGGACCAUGAAACCUCUUUUAUCUGGCAACUGUCAUUUGGUGUAUUGAACAAUAAAUGAACACUGUUCCAAA